CGGUAAUUCCAGCUCCAAUAGCGUAUACUAAAGUUGUUGCAGUUAAAAAGCUCGUAGUUGGAUUUCUGCGGGGACGGAGCGGCCGGUCGCAACUUGCGACUCGAGCUAGCGCUUUCCCCGCAUCCUGCCGCGAACCGUGCUACCAUUAGUUUGGUGGCGCUGGGGAUCGGCUCGAUUACUUUGAGAAAAAUAGAGUGUUCAAAGCAGGCCACACGCCUUGAAUAAGUUAGCAUGGAAUAAUGACUAAGGACUUUGGUUCUUUUCGUUGGUGUUCGGGACUGAAGUAAUGAUUGAUAGGGACAGUUGGGGCGGUCCGUAUUCCAAAGCGAGAGGUGAAAUUCUUAGACCUUCGGAAGACGAACAGCUGCGAAAGCGUUCCGCAAGGAUGUUCCCUUUGAUCAAGAACGAAAGUUGGGGGAUCGAAGACGAUCAGAUACCGUCGUAGUCUCAACUAUAAACUAUACCAGUUAGGGAUCGGCCAACGUUUAAUUAUUCGACUUGGUCGGCACCUUAUGAGAAAUCAAAGCAUCUGGGUUCCGGGGGGAGUAUGGUCGCAAGGCUGAAACUUAAAGGAAUUGACGGAAGGGCACCACCAGCCGUGGAGCCUGUGGCUUAAUUUGACUCAACACGGGAAAACUUACCAGGUCCGGACAUAGUAAGGAUUGACAGAUUGAUAGCUCUUUCUUGAUUCUGUGGGUGGUGGUGCAUGGCCGUUUUUAGUCGGUGGAUGUGAUCUGUCUGCUUAAUUGCGUUAACGGACGAGACCCCAGCCUGCUAAAUAGCGCGGCCGAGCUUUGCUCGGUGCGAGCUUCUUAGAGGGACCAUGAUGCGCGAUAGCACAAGGAAGUUUGGGGCAACAACAGGUCUGUGAUGCCCUUAGAUGUUCUGGGCCGCACACGGGCUACACUGGCGCCUGCAACGAGCAUAUCAGCUGGCCCGAGAGGGUCUUGGCUAAUCUUUGGAACCGGCGCCGUGCUUGGGAUUGACCAUUGCAAUUGUUGGUCAUGCAACGAGGAAUGCCUUGUAAACGCGAGUCAUCAGCUCGCAUUGAAUACGUCCCUGCUCCUUGUACACACCGCCC
Molecule: ribosomal RNA, 1081 nt
Filed under: uncultured Rhizaria
Lineage: Eukaryota
Description: SSU rRNA
Rfam family: Eukaryotic small subunit ribosomal RNA
Source: RNAcentral